CGCUGGCGGCGCGCCUAACACAUGCAAGUCGAACGGCACCCCUCUCCGGAGGGAAGCGAGUGGCGAACGGCUGAGUAACACGUGGAGAACCUGCCCCCUCCCCCGGGAUAGCCGCCCGAAAGGACGGGUAAUACCGGAUACCCCGGGGUGCCGCAUGGCACCCCGGCUAAAGCCCCGACGGGAGGGGAUGGCUCCGCGGCCCAUCAGGUAGACGGCGGGGUGACGGCCCACCGUGCCGACAACGGGUAGCCGGGUUGAGAGACCGACCGGCCAGAUUGGGACUGAGACACGGCCCAGACUCCUACGGGAGGCAGCAGUGGGGAAUCUUGCGCAAUGGGGGGAACCCUGACGCAGCGACGCCGCGUGCGGGACGGAGGCCUUCGGGUCGUAAACCGCUUUCAGCAGGGAAGAGUCAAGACUGUACCUGCAGAAGAAGCCCCGGCUAACUACGUGCCAGCAGCCGCGGUAAUACGUAGGGGGCGAGCGUUAUCCGGAUUCAUUGGGCGUAAAGCGCGCGUAGGCGGCCCGGCAGGCCGGGGGUCGAAGCGG
RNAcentral lists this ribosomal RNA (549 nucleotides) under uncultured organism. RNAcentral's name for it is "SSU rRNA". It matches the Rfam family "Bacterial small subunit ribosomal RNA", at positions 34 to 603 of the family's 1533-position model. The record is from RNAcentral.